Nothoprocta perdicaria is the source of this 196-nucleotide long non-coding RNA. RefSeq lists it as uncharacterized. NCBI's taxonomy places the organism in Eukaryota, Metazoa, Chordata, Aves, Tinamiformes, Tinamidae. The record is from RefSeq and is a predicted model, not a curated record. The transcript is spliced from 3 exons.
UAUAUUGUAGCUGUUGGAUGGGACAGAAGAAUAAACGUGUACUUUGACUCCACAGAGGAGCUUCAUCGUGUUCAGAAACCUCAGCCCUUUUGGCAGGAUGAUAUAAACCAGGGUCAUAAAGAAGAUAUCUUGUGUGUUGCUCAUUGUCCACCAGCUCUGCUUGCCACGGCUAGUUAUGAUGGGGAAAUUAUAGUUU